Molecule: unclassified non-coding RNA, 632 nt
Filed under: Hevea brasiliensis (rubber tree)
Lineage: Eukaryota; Viridiplantae; Streptophyta; Magnoliopsida; Malpighiales; Euphorbiaceae
Source: RNAcentral
UAGUCAAAACUCCAAGUUGUUUGUAUUUUUUUGUUGAAGUUUUAUUUGUUUUAGUUGCAUGUCCUGCUUCUGCUCUUGCAAGUUAACUCUUUCCUUUUCAAUCAUUUAAAUGUAAUUUCUCUGCUCAGAACAAAGACAGAUUAAUCAUAUGCUAUUAUGUUUAUAAUAAUUCCUAGAGCAUACAUGGAACCGUGAGUAAAAUUACCGGAACCUUCUAGUUACUAGGUUUGAAUUAUUGUGAGUUAUGAUCAUACAGUUCUUGAUGGAUUUUUGUCUUAACCUUGUAGUGAUUCAUAAAUCAGUUUACCCAAGUAUGAAUGUGGGAGAAGUUUUUUGGAUGCAAAUCAUGUUACCUAGCUAAAAUGAAAGAUAACUGCUGCCCCCCCCAAAAACACAUUCACUGAGAGAGAGAGAGUUCUUAACUUCUUAUGCUUGUAAUGCUACUGCUACCACUUCUGUCUCUGUUUACUGAUGGCGCCCUCUAAAGGGGAGAUCUAACCAAGUCCCUCUAGCAGCUAACUGAUUGGCCUGUAUGUUAAUGGUUGCAUCCUUAUAUUUCAUCUCACAUGUAAGUGAUGCAUACUGUUAUGAAACAGGAUUCUCAGUUUCAGAGAAGAGCAGAAAUUAGAGAG